GGAGAGUCCCUCGCUGUCCCUGUCCCCCGCUUAAUCCUCGGUCCGAAAUAGCCCAAUAGCCCGGGUAAUCCCGGAGCGAGGCGAACGGAGAAUUAACCCAGGCUGCUCAGGAAGACGCGAGAGGCAGAGGCGUCCAGGGGGAGAAAAGAUGCACAUGACCCAGGCUUCUCUCGACCUGCAAGCCCUGACCCCAGGAUCGGGCAUAGUCUUCGCCAGGCUUUGGGGUGAAGCGAAAUCAACUUAAAAUCCUGGCGCACAUCUAGGGGAAUCACAGCGGAAGGAGCUGAUGGGGGCAGUUGGCCCCGGCCAUGCCCAGGGCCCACUUGGUGCCCUCUUUCCAUGCCCCUGCCUACAGAUUGGAGCUGACCUGCAUCUCCAUCUCCACACGGCCUCCUUCCUCUCUGACACUCACCACCCUUUUGUGCAGCAGACAGAGUGCCCGGUUGGUGCCAGGUCAGUGUGGCACUGAGACCUGGAGUGGGAGGAGGGAGGAGGAGGAGAUGCAGCCCUGCCUCUCAGGAGCUUCUGGGAAUGGCCAGGGCAGGCGAUGGCAACUGUGGACAAGGUGCUAAGGCUCUGUGGGGGCCUCUGGGGAGCUUCCCUGCACCCUAGGACCAUGCCCAGCCCUGUCUAGGGUCCACUACUUCCUGGGGCCCUGAGCCAAGGACAAGGCUGUGGUGCCAGGGAGCCCCCGGGGGUGUGGCGGGCAUGACCCAUUACUCUGCUUUUACCAGCUCUGUCCCUGGGCUCUUCUGCCCUGGGCAAUGUGAGACACUCAGAGUGAGCAGGUGACCUCAGGCUUGCCAUCUGCCUCACCUUCCUGGUUUCCCUUGACCUCCAUUCCCGCAUGCUGGGCUGUUCCAGUUCCAGCCAAAUCCCCGGAGCUGGAGGUCACAAGAGAGUCUGCCAUCAGCUGCAAGGCCACAGAAACCACCCCUCUUCCUCACCAGUAGCAGCAAAGCUGUCAGCCCCACCACACGGGAGGCCUCUUCCUCAACAACCAUGGGCAACUCAUUGAUGGACAUCAGCCGUGGCUCUGGAGACCCAAGAAACAAGAGACUGGGCCUACCCACUGGAGUUCUCCUGGAGAGACCAAACCAGAGUGAGUGGGAGCAGGAGGCACAGGACACGGAAGUCACAUGGAGGCUCAUGCUCAAAGGAGCCAUGCUCAAGCCAGUGCUCUGCUGUCUGUCUCGAUGGGCUCAGCUUCUGAACAAGUCAUGGCAUUUUUAUUUUGCACUGGGCCCCCCAAAUCAUGAAGCCAGUCCUGGAGAACAGUGGGGUGCUGGUGAGCAUUUAACGGCAAGAAAAGCCAGGCAUGGUGGUGCGUUCCUAUAGCCCCCUCAGUCUGGGAGGCUGAGGCAGGAAGAUGGCAAGUUCUGCCCAAGCCUGGGGAACUUAGCAAUUCAUCAAGACUUUGUUUCAAAAUCAAAGGCAGGGGGAGAGAGGGUGUUUCAGUGUGAAAGCUCAGAGUUCCAGUCCCAGUACCACAAAAACAACAACAAAACAGCAAGGAUUAAGCACCACUGUCUACCCGUCUGCAUGGUGUAGGUUUUCUCCACCACAGCCAAGUCCAAGCUGCAGUGUGACCUCAGGGACCGUGGCUGGUGGCCAUCGGAGCCUAUGCCAGCAGACUCCAGAUCCCCAGUGAUGUGGGCAUAUAGCAAGUGCCAGCCCCAUUUGAGAGUCAGACUGAACCUGAUAGUGACAAUAAAACAAAGCAAAAGAGCUUCCAUUUGGGUCAAAGAAGACAGAGGGCAGGGAGCAAAGAUCCCACCUGUACACAUCUUCCCGCUCCAGGCUAGGGUGCCAACCUUCCGGCACUCCAUCAGGAGCAAGGACUGCGUCCCUACCCUCCACACAGGCCUGGCUUGGCACAAAGGCCCCGCACGUCCCGCUGGCCACCCCUUUCUGUGAGUUCUGGUGCCACAACCUCUAGUGUCCCUGGCCCGUCAUUGGACCCCACAUGUGCUGAACUCAUGGACCCCACUUCCAAACUCUGGACUCUUAGCCACCCUGGCGUGUCUUAAAGUCCCCCUGCAUGUAAGCUCUUGACUUAGGCACACCCACAAUCAGAACAGCAGCUCAAACAGGUG
Molecule: long non-coding RNA, 2096 nt
Filed under: Heterocephalus glaber (naked mole-rat)
Lineage: Eukaryota; Metazoa; Chordata; Mammalia; Rodentia; Bathyergidae
Description: lncRNA (ENSHGLG00000041961.1)
Source: RNAcentral